UGACUCACCGAGAGUGAACCAGUAUCGUGAGGGAAAGGCGAAAAGAACCCCGGCGAGGGGAGUGAAAAAGAACCUGAAUCCGUGUACGUACAAGCAGUGGGAGCACCUUCGGGUGUGACUGCGUACCUUUUGUAUAAUGGGUCAGCGACUUAUAUUCUGUAGCAAGGUUAACCGUAUAGGGGAGCCGCAGGGAAACCGAGUCUUAACUGGGCGUUAAGUUGCAGGGUAUAGACCCGAAACCCGGUGAUCUAGCCAUGGGCAGGUUGAAGGUUGGGUAACACUAACUGGAGGACCGAACCGACUAAUGUUGAAAAAUUAGCGGAUGACUUGUGGCUGGGGGUGAAAGGCCAAUCAAACCGGGAGAUAGCUGGUUCUCCCCGAAAGCUAUUUAGGUAGCGCCUCGUGAACUCAUCUUCGGGGGUAGAGCACUGUUUCGGCUAGGGGGUCAUCCCGACUUACCAACCCGAUGCAAACUACGAAUACCGAAGAAUGUUAUCACGGGAGACACACGGCGGGUGCUAACGUCCGUCGUGAAGAGGGAAACAACCCAGACCGCCAGCUAAGGUCCCAAAGUCAUGGUUAAGUGGGAAACGAUGUGGGAAGGCACAGACAGCCAGGAUGUUGGCUUAGAAGCAGCCAUCAUUUAAAGAAAGCGUAAUAGCUCACUGGUCGAGUCGGCCUGCGCGGAAGAUGUAACGGGGCUAAACCAUGCACCGAAGCUGCGGCAGCGACACUAUGUGUUGUUGGGUAGGGGAGCGUUCUGUAAGCCUGCGAAGGUGUGCUGUGAGGCAUGCUGGAGGUAUCAGAAGUGCGAAUGCUGAC
Molecule: ribosomal RNA, 822 nt
Filed under: Pseudomonas aeruginosa
Lineage: Bacteria; Pseudomonadati; Pseudomonadota; Gammaproteobacteria; Pseudomonadales; Pseudomonadaceae
Description: partial 23S ribosomal RNA
Rfam family: Bacterial large subunit ribosomal RNA
Source: RNAcentral